This 356-nucleotide long non-coding RNA is filed under the name Salmo salar (Atlantic salmon). Its description in RNAcentral is "lncRNA (ENSSSAG00000101095.1)". Lineage: Eukaryota; Metazoa; Chordata; Actinopteri; Salmoniformes; Salmonidae. The record is from RNAcentral.
GUACAAUAUAAUAAACAUUUUAGCAUAAGUAUAAUACAGGACGGCACAAUUUAUAGUCCAAUAUUUACACAUGUUUUGGCGAAGGGGGGAUUGGGGGGCAAGUGUUUUUAAAUUGUGCAGUAUUUAUCCAUCCUAAUAAGAGUCUGGUAGCAGCUGUUGUGAUGUGUGUGUGGAUUCACAGACACAGCGAUCAGCUUGUUGGGGGUGAACUGGAAGCACACUGCUCUAGCGAUGGGACAGAGGAGACGGCUUCGUCCUCAGCCCUAUACUACACAUCAGGUUUUACGGAGUCAGUGAGGCCGGUGGUUCCUGGUCCCCUAGCUGAUGCUGUCCCCCACGGCAUACCUCCACCCCCC